CCUCCCCCGGGAUUUGACGCCCCACUUCCCAUUCUGUGUACACCUUAGGCCAAAACUUUCAAUUUUGUCUUUAAAUUGGGGGCUAUUAUGCGCCCAACCCUUAGAACGGCUGUGAGAAUUCAGUGAGAGGAGGUUGGAGGUUUGACCAUAGUGAGCGCUUGGCUUUCCUUUUCAAGUCGACGUGGUUUCAGUUUGCAUCCCAUGGGUCUUAACUAGAGGACCCGCACAUAAACUCAAGGCUCUGGGUCAGGAAAACGACAGCCAUGGUGAGAAGAGGUGAAAGUGUGGGCCUGGGAGCCAGAUUGCCUAAUUCAAACCUCACUCCACCCUUCACUUAAGGCGAUCGACCUGCUAACCCUCAGUUUUCUUGUCUGCAAAAGGGGGAUAAUGAUAACCCUAGCUGUGAAUAAUAGCUGUCCCAUUGGGCUGCUGUGGGGACUGAGAUUGUGCUUGCCAAGUGCUUAUUUUGCAUUAUAGUGCUUGGCAAAUUUUAGGCUAGUGAAUAAUUUUUACUUGGUUCCUGGUUUAUUGUCCUCCAUUGAGCAGCCUGUCAUUUAACCGCUUUCAGCCUGGCUUUAGAGAAUCUGGAGGCCACCAAGGAAGUCAUCAGGCCAAACGGAAUCUACCUCUAAAUAUAAGAAGAAAAUGUUAGCCAAGCAUGCUGGCACACACCUGAAAUCCCAGUGACUCCGGAGGCUGAAGCAGGAGGAUUACUAGUUCAAAGCCAGCCUCAGCUGAUAAAAUAUUUUCAACACCAGGUGUGGUGGCGUACACCUGUAAUCCCAGCAGGAGGAUCUUGAGUUUAAAAGCCAGCCUCAGCAAUUUAGGGAGGCUGUAAGCAACUUAAUGAGACAUCCUCUCAAAAAGGUUUGGGAUAGUGUUGGGUUGUGGCUCAACGGUAGAGCGCUCGCCUCGCAAGCAGGACCCUGGG
Molecule: long non-coding RNA, 931 nt
Filed under: Marmota monax (woodchuck)
Lineage: Eukaryota; Metazoa; Chordata; Mammalia; Rodentia; Sciuridae
Source: RNAcentral